GAUGAACGCUGGCGGCGUGCCUAAUACAUGCAAGUCGAGCGAACAGACGAGAAGCUUGCUCCUCUGACGUUAGCGGCGGAGGGGGGAGUAACACGUGGAUAACCUACCUACAAGAGAGGGAUAACUUCGGGAAAAAGGAGCUAAUACAGGAGAAUAUAUUGAAUCGCAUGGUUGAAUAGUGAAAGACGGGUAUGAAGUUACCGAUAGAGGGAUCGGCGCCGCAUUAGCUAGUUGGUAAGGUAACGGCUUACCAAGGCAACGAUGCGUAGCCGACCUGAGAGGGUGAUCGGCCACACUGGAACUGAGACACGGCCCAGACUCCUACGGGAGGCAGCAGUAGGGAAUCUUCCGCAAUGGGCGAAAGCCUGACGGAGCAACGCCGCGUGAGUGAUGAAGGUCUUCGGAUCGUAAAACUCUGUUAUUAGGGAAGAACAAAUAUGUAAGUAACUGUGCUCGCCUUGACGGUACCUAAUCAGAAAGCCCCGGCUAACUACGUG
Molecule: ribosomal RNA, 497 nt
Filed under: uncultured bacterium
Lineage: Bacteria
Description: partial 16S ribosomal RNA
Rfam family: Bacterial small subunit ribosomal RNA
Source: RNAcentral